GCCUUAAACCCUAAACCCUUAAAACCCCUAAGAAACACUUAACCAUUAAAACCCCUAAAAAUCCCAAAAACCCCUAAACCUAAAAAACUCUAAGCUCUAAACCCUAUAAAGCCCUAAAUCGUAUAUGCUAAACCCUAAAAAACACAAACAAUCCAUAAGCCCUAAACUCUAAACAUAUAAAACCCUAAAAAACCAAAAGGCCUAAAC
Molecule: long non-coding RNA, 207 nt
Filed under: Solanum tuberosum (potato)
Lineage: Eukaryota; Viridiplantae; Streptophyta; Magnoliopsida; Solanales; Solanaceae
Description: long non-coding RNA (STUB_LNC000392)
Source: RNAcentral